This 766-nucleotide ribosomal RNA is filed under the name uncultured Streptococcus sp. RNAcentral describes it as "bacterial SSU rRNA". It matches the Rfam family "Bacterial small subunit ribosomal RNA", at positions 28 to 776 of the family's 1533-position model. Lineage: Bacteria; Bacillati; Bacillota; Bacilli; Lactobacillales; Streptococcaceae. The record is from RNAcentral.
GACGAACGCUGGCGGCGUGCCUAAUACAUGCAAGUAGAACGCUGAAGAGAGGAGCUUGCUCUUCUUGGAUGAGUUGCGAACGGGUGAGUAACGCGUAGGUAACCUGCCUGGUAGCGGGGGAUAACUAUUGUAAAAAAACAGCUAAUACCGCAUAAAAUGGAUUAUCGCAUGAUAAUCCAUUGAAAGGUGCAAAUGCAUCACUACCAGAUGGACCUGCGUUGUAUUAGCUAGUUGGUGGGGUAACGGCUCACCAAGGCGACGAUACAUAGCCGCCCUGAGGGGGUGAUCGGCCACACUGGGACUGAGACACGGCCCAGACUCCUACGGGAGGCAGCAGUAGGGAAUCUUCGGCAAUGGACGGAAGUCUGACCGAGCAACGCCGCGUGAGUGAAGAAGGUUUUCGGAUCGUAAAGCUCUGUUGUAAGAGAAGAACGAGUGUGAGAGCGGAAAGUUCACACUGUGACGGUAUCUUACCAGAAAGGGACGGCUAACUACGUGCCAGCAGCCGCGGUAAUACGUAGGUCCCGAGCGUUGUCCGGAUUUAUUGGGCGUAAAGCGAGCGCAGGCGGUUAGAUAAGUCUGAAGUUAAAGGCUGUGGCUUAACCAUAGUACGCUUUGGAAACUGUUUAACUUGAGUGCAAGAGGGGAGAGUGGAAUUCCAUGUGUAGCGGUGAAAUGCGUAGAUAUAUGGAGGAACACCGGUGGCGAAAGCGGCUCUCUGGCUUGUAACUGACGCUGAGGCUCGAAAGCGUGGGGAGCAAACAGG